GUGCAAGCUGUUAUUUGUCUUCAAGAUUGGCGUCGAAAUGAGCCUUAUCCCAUAAAUGUUGAAGAAGAUUUUAAUGAUCUUAUGAAACUUGAACUUGCUAUGGAUGAUAUUGACUUGCAUUGUUCAAGCUGAAAAACAGUAAAAGCAAAUUUUGGACUCUAUUUCCUCUGCUGCUACUGUGUCUGACUUCUGAUUUUGGAGCUGCUUCAGGUGGUGGUGUUGUUGUGUGUAGUGUGCUGCUGCUGCAGGUGCUGUUGACUGUUGUUGUGUUGCUCCUG
Solanum dulcamara is the source of this 278-nucleotide long non-coding RNA. RefSeq lists it as uncharacterized. The transcript is spliced from 3 exons. The record is from RefSeq and is a predicted model, not a curated record. Lineage: Eukaryota; Viridiplantae; Streptophyta; Magnoliopsida; Solanales; Solanaceae.